UUUAUGGAGAGUUUGAUCCUGGCUCAGGAUGAACGCUGGCGGCGUGCCUAAUACAUGCAAGUCGAGCGAACGGACGAGAAGCUUGCUUCUCUGAUGUUAGCGGCGGACGGGUGAGUAACACGUGGAUAACCUACCUAUAAGACUGGGAUAACUUCGGGAAACCGGAGCUAAUACCGGAUAAUAUUUUGAACCGCAUGGUUCAAAAGUGAAAGACGGUCUUGCUGUCACUUAUAGAUGGAUCCGCGCUGCAUUAGCUAGUUGGUAAGGUAACGGCUUACCAAGGCAACGAUGCAUAGCCGACCUGAGAGGGUGAUCGGCCACACUGGAACUGAGACACGGUCCAGACUCCUACGGGAGGCAGCAGUAGGGAAUCUUCCGCAAUGGGCGAAAGCCUGACGGAGCAACGCCGCGUGAGUGAUGAAGGUCUUCGGAUCGUAAAACUCUGUUAUUAGGGAAGAACAUAUGUGUAAGUAACUGUGCACAUCUUGACGGUACCUAAUCAGAAAGCCACGGCUAACUACGUGCCAGCAGCCGCGGUAAUACGUAGGUGGCAAGCGUUAUCCGGAAUUAUUGGGCGUAAAGCGCGCGUAGGCGGUUUUUUAAGUCUGAUGUGAAAGCCCACGGCUCAACCGUGGAGGGUCAUUGGAAACUGGAAAACUUGAGUGCAGAAGAGGAAAGUGGAAUUCCAUGUGUAGCGGUGAAAUGCGCAGAGAUAUGGAGGAACACCAGUGG
RNAcentral lists this ribosomal RNA (732 nucleotides) under Staphylococcus aureus. RNAcentral's name for it is "bacterial SSU rRNA". It matches the Rfam family "Bacterial small subunit ribosomal RNA", at positions 1 to 715 of the family's 1533-position model. The record is from RNAcentral. Lineage: Bacteria; Bacillati; Bacillota; Bacilli; Caryophanales; Staphylococcaceae.